RNAcentral lists this ribosomal RNA (274 nucleotides) under uncultured bacterium. Its description in RNAcentral is "partial 16S ribosomal RNA". It matches the Rfam family "Bacterial small subunit ribosomal RNA", at positions 523 to 796 of the family's 1533-position model. The record is from RNAcentral.
AUACGGAGGGUGCAAGCGUUAUCCGGAAUCAUUGGGUUUAAAGGGUCCGUAGGCGGGCGAUUAAGUCAGAGGUGAAAUCCCACAGCUCAACUGUGGAACUGCCUUUGAUACUGGUUGUCUUGAGUUACAGUGAAGUAGAUAGAAUGUGUAGUGUAGCGGUGAAAUGCAUAGAUAUUACACAGAAUACCGAUUGCGAAGGCAGUCUACUAACUGUAUACUGACGCUAAUGGACGAAAGCGUGGGGAGCGAACAGGAUUAGAUACCCGAGUAGUCC